GAAGCAUCAUAGUGUCCCCGUCCGCAUAAAUGAAUAAUCUGGAACUGUUUUAAUAAUUCAUUUAGAUUCUCACGAAUGGAAUUAUUAAUUGCAACAGCACCGAGACUUCCACCCAUUACAAGAAGAACCGGUUUGGAAUCAUCAAAUCCA
RNAcentral lists this non-coding RNA (150 nucleotides) under Anaerobutyricum soehngenii. The record is from RNAcentral. Lineage: Bacteria; Bacillati; Bacillota; Clostridia; Lachnospirales; Lachnospiraceae.